UUCAAAGAUGAAAUUGCUGCAUAGGAAGUGCCGUCUGAUGCGAUAACUGACGCUGGAUAAAGCUGCGCUGAGA
RNAcentral lists this small nucleolar RNA (73 nucleotides) under Hucho hucho (huchen). RNAcentral describes it as "Small nucleolar RNA SNORD49 (ENSHHUG00000024224.1)". It matches the Rfam family "Small nucleolar RNA SNORD49". Rfam says of the family: U49 belongs to the C/D class of snoRNA which contain the C (UGAUGA) and D (CUGA) box motifs. Lineage: Eukaryota; Metazoa; Chordata; Actinopteri; Salmoniformes; Salmonidae. The record is from Rfam by way of RNAcentral.